CUUGGCUUGCAGAGGCGAUGAAGGACGUGAUAAGCUGCGAUAAGCUACGAGGAGGUGCACAUAACCUUUGAUUCGUAGAUUUCCGAAUGGGGCAACCCGGCUGGUUGAAGACCAGUCACCUUUUAAGGAGCAAACCCGGAGAACUGAAACAUCUAAGUACCCGGAGGAAGAGAAAAUAAUUAAUGAUUCCGAUAGUAGCGGCGAGCGAAAUCGGAUUAGCCCAAACCAAUUCUGUUUCGGCAGAGUUGGGGUUGUAGGACCACGACAUGAAAUGUUCCACGAAUAAGAAUCAACUGGAAAGUUGAACCGUAGAGGGUGAUAGUCCCGUAUUGGUAAGUGCGAAUAAUUUCUAGUGGUAUCCUGAGUAGGGCGGGACAUGUGAAAUCCUGUCUGAAUCUACCAGAACCAUCUGGUAAGGCUAAAUACUCCUGCAAGACCGAUAGCGUACUAGUACCGUGAGGGAAAGGUGAAAAGUACCCUGAAUAAGGGAGUGAAAUAGAACCUGAAACCGUUUGCUUACAAGCGGUCGGAGCAUCAUAAGAUGUGACGGCGUGCCUUUUGCAUAAUGAUCCUACGAGUUACUCGUCACUAGCAAGGUUAAGGACUUCAGGUCCGCAGCCGAAGCGAAAGCAAGUUUGAAUAGAGCGUAUAGUUAGUGGCGGUAGACGCGAAACCGAGUGAUCUACCCAUGGGCAGGUUGAAGCUUUGGUAACACAGAGUGGAGGACCGAACCGGUUGACGUUGAAAAGUCUUCGGAUGACCUGUGGGUAGGGGUGAAAGGCCAAUCAAACUCGGAAAUAGCUCGUUCUCCCCGAAAUGUAUUUAGGUACAGCGUCGUGGUAAAGAGUAGUAGAGGUAGAGCUACUGGUUGGAUGCGGGGGCUUCAUCGCCUACCAAAUCCUGUCAAACUCCGAAUGCUACUACUUGUUUCACGGCAGUGAGGGCAUGGGUGCUAAGGUCCAUGUCCGAGAGGGAAAGAACCCAGACCAUCUGCUAAGGUCCCCAAAUGUAUACUAAGUUGAUCAAACGUGGUCAGACUGCUUAGACAGCUAGGAUGUUGGCUUGGAAGCAGCCAUUCAUUUAAAGAGUGCGUAACAGCUCACUAGUCGAGCGGUCAGGCGUGGAUAAUAAUCGGGCAUAAGUAUACUACCGAAGCAAUGGACAUGAAAAUGUGGUAGGGGAGCAUUCUAGUUGCGCCGAAGGUAAACUGCGAGGUUUGCUGGAGCGGCUAGAAAAGAAAAUGUAGGAAUGAGUAACGAUAAAGCGGGUGAGAAACCCGCUCGCCGAAAAUCUAAGGUUUCCUCAGCUAUGCUAAUCAGCUGAGGGUUAGUCGCGACCUAAGGCGAACCCGAACGGGGUAGUCGAUGGACAACAGGUUAAUAUUCCUGUACUUGUUUAUACUGUGAUGGGGUGACGAUGUACUGAAAGCACCGCGCACUGACGGAAUAGUGCGUUAAAGACUGUAUCUAUAGGACCUGUAGGCAAAUCCGCAGGACCUGGAGAAGGUCGAUAGUACCAAGAGUCUUCGGACAAUUGGAUAGUGUGCCUAAAAUCAUCCAAGAAAAACCUCUAAACUUCAGGUAUAAACAACGCGUACCGUAAACCGACACAGGUAGAUGGGAUGAGAAUUCUAAGGCGCUCGAGUGAUUCAUGGCUAAGGAACUAGGCAAAAUAGUCCUGUAACUUCGGGAGAAAGGACGCCCCCUUAUGGGGGGCCGCAGUGAAUAGGCCCAGGCGACUGUUUAUCAAAAACACAGGACUCUGCUAAAUCGAAAGAUGAUGUAUAGGGUCUGACACCUGCCCGGUGCUGGAAGGUUAAAAGGAGAUGUUAGCUUCGGCGAAGCAUUGAAUUGAAGCCCCAGUAAACGGCGGCCGUAACUAUAACGGUCCUAAGGUAGCGAAAUUCCUUGUCGGGUAAGUUCCGACCUGCACGAAUGGUGUAACGAUCUGGGCACUGUCUCAGCCAUGAGCUCGGUGAAAUUGUAGUAUCGGUGAAGAUGCCGAUUACCCGCAGCGGGACGAAAAGACCCCGUGAACCUUCACUACAACUUUGUAUUGACAUUGGACAAGAGAUGUGUAGGAUAGGUGGGAGACUUUGAAGCGUUGUCGCUAGGCAGCGUGGAGUCAACCUUGAAAUACCACCCUUCGCUUGUUUGAUGCCUAACCCCGCAAGGGGAACAGUGCAUGGUGGGUAGUUUGACUGGGGUGGUCGCCUCCAAAAGAGUAACG
RNAcentral lists this ribosomal RNA (2229 nucleotides) under marine metagenome. Its description in RNAcentral is "bacterial LSU rRNA". It matches the Rfam family "Bacterial large subunit ribosomal RNA", at positions 32 to 2302 of the family's 2925-position model. The record is from RNAcentral.